RNAcentral lists this long non-coding RNA (2246 nucleotides) under Vigna radiata. Its description in RNAcentral is "long non-coding RNA (VRAD_LNC018632)". Lineage: Eukaryota; Viridiplantae; Streptophyta; Magnoliopsida; Fabales; Fabaceae. The record is from RNAcentral.
CAACAGAAAAUAAGGGAAUAGCUUUUAAAGUUAAAACCUCAUUUUUAGUUCAAAAGAAAAAGCUGAAUUCUUUGAACUUUUCUCUUUGCCUGGAAAACGAACCUCUCCAAGCUCUCUUGCUANUUUUGCUUUCUAUUCCAAAAUCCUGCAGAUUUAAUCCCCUAAAUUCCUCCUUGCAGCUGUCUAAAGCGAUUGAACACCAAGACCUCCUUUUUCUCNGAUCAAUUUCUGUUUUCGAAGAAGGGGUAAGUUGCUCUCUCCUUUUUCCCCAUUCUUGAGCAUUAGAACAUACAAUCUUAGGAUUUCAUGCGUCUUUGGACUCUUCCUUUCAAAUUUCUUUUCAAAUUCAACUUUGAGAAACGCCUUGAUCACUAAUUUCGUUAUCUAUAGGGUUGGAGGUAAAUUCGGAAUUUUGAGGAAACAUAGAAGAAGCAUUGAGUUGUUCUGAUAGAAUCCAAGGUAAGGGAAGCUAGAUUCAUCUUUUAUUGUAGAAUAGUAAGCUGUUUGUAAGUAGAUUUUGUGUGUAAAGAAUUUAAUCAAUGCAUGCAGAAACUUUUGUAAAAUGUUAAGUUAAAGUGUGUUUGAAUGCAUUAUGUUUAUGUUCUGAAUUUGUGAACUUUAGCCUAUGUUCAUUGUAAACACAUAUGUUCUGAAUUAUGGAUGUGUUGUGACUAGGGUAAUGUAUUAGAAUUAGAAAGAAUCUGUGAGGGAGAGACUAGACAGAGUUUAAGCAGAGAGUAAUAUUUCAAGUGUUCUAGGAAAUCAAAUUUAGGAAGUAGGGUAGUGAAAUUUUAAGUUAGGGGUUUAGACCUAAAUUGAACCUUUGUGGUAGCUUAGACAAACCAAUUAUGACUUGUAGGCAACAUCAAAAGAGUCUGAAACCAUUUCUAAGUAGUAUAAUUCAAAUCGAGUCUCUAAGAGAAUUAAGUUGAGUUUUUGAUUCAAAAUCUCUACAUAGUAACUAGAAUUUUAUGUUAGGAUCAUGGGGAAAGCUUCAAACAAGUUAUAUUUAGCCUAUAGAUCGAGUUAGGAGUGUUCAAAGUUCACCAAAUGGCCUAAAACAGAUUUGGGGGGUGUGAGUUCUGCAAAAUCUGCAUAAAAUCUGCAAAACUCACGCUCGGGCGCCCCUAACGGGCGCUUGGGCGCCACUUUCUGCUGUCAUGUUUGUUUUUGACAGUUCGGGGGGUUCCGGACGUCCGUUUUGGACGUUCUCUAGGUCGUUCUGGGGGGUUUUUGACCCUUCCGGAGCCAAUGGUGUGGGUUUCCAAGCUAUUUGAAUUACCUAAGUAUUGGUAAUUUAAGAUUACAAAGAUAUUUGUAUUAAUAAGUGAUGUUUUUCUGAAAAUAUGUAAUUCUUGUUUCCUCUUCUUCCUUGUGUGAUGAUUCAUGUAUUUGUUAUGGUUCCUCUUGUAUGACUUCUAUUAAUAUUAUUGGAUUGAUCUAUGCUUGAUAAUGUAAAGAAACCAAAUUGAUCUCCUAACUUCAUGUAUAACAUUAAGAAUUAAAGUAAGUAAAGUUAGGGUGGAAUGUAAUGUGAUUUAAGUACAUCUCUAGGUGAGAUCAAAUUAAGUUAUGAGAAUGAAUAUAAGAAGCUCAAUCUUGGGUGUCUCCAUUUUAUAUGGGCCAAGAAUGAGUGAUUCAAGUUAAGUUCUAGAAUGAAUAUAGGUAGCUCAGUUUUGGGGGUUGCCCUUAAUGCUCUAAUGACUAUUCAAUCUCACUUAGAGAAGAUUAGUUCAUGUGGUGAAGAGUAGUAGGGGGUCCUAGUCUUGGUUGUCUCCAUUGUAUAUGGGCCAAGGUGAGUGAUAACGGACUAACCUUGUGUGUGGUAGGGUGAAACCCAUUGGCAAUGGCUUUGCAAAGCAGUAGAGGCCACCACAAGUGCAUAACCCGCCAUAGCUCGAUAUUCAUUCCAGGUCCGGACGAGUCUAAGUCUGACACCACUUAAUACAACUCUAAUUUAUAACUCAGUAAAAAUUGUACUUCUGUGAUUGUAUUGCUUGUAUGUUUCUUUUUAUUUUAGUAGCUCUUAUAUCACUUGUAUUAUUUUUGAAAUCUAGCUUACCCUUGCGUGUGUGUUGCUUGUUUUGUCUGUGUUUGUUUUCUUUUGCAAUGAUCAUCCUAAUUGGAUGUGAGCAGAGAUUGCAGAGGCCCUUUGGAGCAGGUUUUAGAUGUAGUUGAUGCUGCCAAGACUCCAGACACUGCUGAGUAGUUUAGGAUGUCUAAGUUCAUGUGUGUGUGUGUGUGUG